Molecule: small RNA, 687 nt
Filed under: Histoplasma capsulatum
Lineage: Eukaryota; Fungi; Ascomycota; Eurotiomycetes; Onygenales; Ajellomycetaceae
Also listed under: 1 other name
Description: hypothetical RNA
Source: RNAcentral
GACCUAGGGAGGCUUCUGACCCUAGGGAGGCUUCUGACCUAGGGAGGCUUCUGACCUAGGGAGGCUUCUGACCUAGGGAGGCUUCUGACCUAGGGAGGCUUCUGACCUAGGGAGGCUUCUGACCUAGGGAGGCUUCUGACCUAGGGAGGCUUCUGACCUAGGGAGGCUUCUGACCUAGGGAGGCUUCUGACCUAGGGAGGCUUCUGACCUAGGGUGUCCGAUACAUUUGAAGUGUAACAUAUGCAAUUUCCACCUCUGGAUUUUAUAUUUAUAAGCAUGGGACACCUCUCAAGUGUAGGUUUCACUGGAUAAACUGUAGGCUUCAAGAUCAGAGCAGCCGCCAUAUGCUUCUCAUUGGUUGGGCGGGGAGAAGUAUAUGUCAAAGACAAGGGGGUGCUAAGUCGUGAGAUUUCCAGGUCGAAGAAGGAAAUCCGUAUGCUGGGAGUGGUGCAUAAAGACCUGCGAUCUGCCAACCAGUCCGACAUAGACAGGCGCCUGAUGAACUGGCUGUAGUGCUACUGCGCAAAAUGCGCGAAAAACCACUUUUCAAUUAUUUAUAGUAACAGGCAAGCGAGCGUAGUGAGCGAGCAAAGUAUGCUUGUUAUUUUGAUGAUAAUUCUGAUAAUUACAUGAAAAGAUUGCAUCAUUUAACUAUAUAAGGAAAGAAAUGUCGAAAUGAAAGGGUGA